ACUGGCGUAAAGCGCGCGUAGGUGGCUUGAUAAGCCGGGUGUGAAAGCCCCGGGCUCAACCUGGGAACGGCAUCCGGAACUGUCAAGCUAGAGUGCAGGAGAGGAAGGUAGAAUUCCCGGUGUAGCGGUGAAAUGCGUAGAGAUCGGGAGGAAUACCAGUGGCGAAGGCGGCCUUUCUGGACUGACACUGACACUGAGGUGCGAAAGCGUGGGUAGCAAACAGGAUUAGAUACCCUGGUAGUCCACGCCGUAAACGAUGUCGACCAGCCGUUGGGUGCCUAGCGCACUUUGUGGCGAAGUUAACGCGAUAAGUCGACCGCCUGGGGAGUACGGCCGCAAGGUUAAAACUCAAAUGAAUUGACGGGGGCCCGCACAAGCGGUGGAGCAUGUGGUUUAAUUCGAUGCAACGCGAAGAACCUUACCUACUCUUGACAUCCUGCGAAUUUGGUAGAGAUACCUUAGUGCCUUCGGGAACGCAGAGACAGGUGCUGCAUGGCUGUCGUCAGCUCGUGUUGUGAAAUGUUGGGUUAAGUCCCGUAACGAGCGCAACCCUUGUCCUUAUUUGCCAGCGCGUAAUGGCGGGAACUCUAAGGAGACUGCCGGUGACAAACCGGAGGAAGGUGGGGACGACGUCAAGUCAUCAUGGCCCUUACGAGUAGGGCUACACACGUGCUACAAUGGUCGGUACAAAGGGUUGCCAACUCGCGAGAGUGAGCCAAUCCCGAAAAGCCGAUCUCAGUCCGGAUCGGAGUCUGCAACUCGACUCCGUGAAGUCGGAAUCGCUAGUAAUCGUAGAUCAGAAUGCUACGGUGAAUACGUUCCCGGGCCUUGUACACACCGCCCGUC
This 846-nucleotide ribosomal RNA is filed under the name Vreelandella aquamarina. RNAcentral's name for it is "bacterial SSU rRNA". It matches the Rfam family "Bacterial small subunit ribosomal RNA", at positions 554 to 1398 of the family's 1533-position model. Lineage: Bacteria; Pseudomonadati; Pseudomonadota; Gammaproteobacteria; Oceanospirillales; Halomonadaceae. The record is from RNAcentral.